This 311-nucleotide ribosomal RNA is filed under the name uncultured eukaryote. RNAcentral's name for it is "partial 18S ribosomal RNA". It matches the Rfam family "Eukaryotic small subunit ribosomal RNA", at positions 1470 to 1796 of the family's 1831-position model. The record is from RNAcentral.
CCCCUAGACGUUCUGGGCUGCACGCGCGCUACAAUAAUACGCACAGCGAGUAUCACCGAGCUCGAAAGGGCAAGGUAAACAAUAGAAAAGGUACUGUAAUGGUUAUAGAUCCUUGUAAUUAUUGAUCUUCAACGAGGAAUUCCUAGUAAGUAUGUGUCAUCAUCACGCACUGAUUACGUCCCUGCCCUUUGUACACACCGCCCGUCGCUCCUACCGAUUGGGUGAGCCGAUGAAACUCUCGGAUGUAGGCUAUUCAUAGCCCGCAGAAGAGAUUUGAAUCGUAGCGCUUAGAGGAAGGAGAANUCGUAGCA